Unclassified non-coding RNA from Pongo abelii (Sumatran orangutan), 137 nucleotides. It matches the Rfam family "Metazoan signal recognition particle RNA". Rfam says of the family: The signal recognition particle (SRP) is a universally conserved ribonucleoprotein. It is involved in the co-translational targeting of proteins to membranes. NCBI's taxonomy places the organism in Eukaryota, Metazoa, Chordata, Mammalia, Primates, Hominidae. The record is from Ensembl.
GCUGGGCGUGUUGGCAUACACCUGUAGUCCCAGCUACUUGGGAGGCUGAGAUGGGAGGAUCGCUUGUGCCCGGGAGAUUGAGGUUGCAGUGAGCCACUGCACUACAGCAUGGGCAACAGAGUGAGACCCUGUCUCAC